This 75-nucleotide transfer RNA is filed under the name Acidobacteriota bacterium. RNAcentral's name for it is "Acidobacteria bacterium (groundwater metagenome) tRNA-His". It matches the Rfam family "tRNA". From Rfam's summary of the family: Transfer RNA (tRNA) molecules are approximately 80 nucleotides in length. Their secondary structure includes four short double-helical elements and three loops (D, anti-codon, and T loops). The record is from RNAcentral. Lineage: Bacteria; Pseudomonadati; Acidobacteriota. RNAcentral also lists the same sequence under 2 other names.
GUGGGUGUAGCUCAGGGGUAGAGCGCCUGACUGUGGCUCAGGAAGUCGCGGGUUCGAAACCCGUCACCCACCCCA